UUAACUAUUAUAUAGUACUCAGACGACACUAAUAAACAGAGUUUGUGGUCCUUUGGCGAGCGCGCACCAGCAAGCGCCGGUGGCCGAAGCGGCUCGCCAAAGCAACAAAGGUUUAAUAACAUAGGGUUGGAGAGUCACCCCGUGAGGGCAAUGUUCUCUGUAAUGAUCCCUCCGCAGGUUCACCUACGGAGA
RNAcentral lists this unclassified non-coding RNA (192 nucleotides) under uncultured fungus. RNAcentral's name for it is "sequence contains ITS1". The record is from RNAcentral. Lineage: Eukaryota; Fungi.